RNAcentral lists this ribosomal RNA (468 nucleotides) under uncultured bacterium. Its description in RNAcentral is "partial 16S ribosomal RNA". It matches the Rfam family "Bacterial small subunit ribosomal RNA", at positions 28 to 507 of the family's 1533-position model. The record is from RNAcentral.
GACGAACGCUGGCGGCGUGCCUAACACAUGCAAGUCGAACGGAACGGUCCUGCUUUUGUGGGGUGCUCGAGUGGCGAACGGGUGAGUAACCCGUGAGUAACCUGCCCUUGACUUUGGGAUAACUUCAUGAAACUUGGGCUCAUACCGGCUAGGAGCUCCUGCUUCAUGGUGGGGGCUGGAAAGUUUCGGCGGUUGGGGAUGGACUCGCGGCCUAUCAGAUUGUUGGUGGGGUAGUGGAUUACCAAGCCCUUGACCGGUAGCCGGGCUGAGAGGCUCACCGGCCACGCUAGGACUGAAAUACGGCCCAGACCCGUACCGGAGGCAACGGUGGGGAGGAGUGUACAAGGGACGGAGGCAUGGUGCAGCACAGCAGCGUGGGGGGAGAGGGGCAUGCGUUUGUAAUCCACUUCUGUCUUUCCCGGGGCGAUAAUGACGGUACCGGGUAAAGAAGCACCGGCUAACUACGUG